Dermacentor albipictus is the source of this 3005-nucleotide non-coding RNA. The record is from RefSeq and is a predicted model, not a curated record. NCBI's taxonomy places the organism in Eukaryota, Metazoa, Arthropoda, Arachnida, Ixodida, Ixodidae.
CACCCGCGUAACGCGCUAACUCGGUUUCGAGGCUAUUAGCCUCGCGGUCGCGUGUUGCCGCUCAUAUUGCUCACGACAAUAAGUGCAUAGAGUUACAUAGUAAAGGACACGAGUGGACACUCGAGCCGUUUCGCGGGCGAGCUAUGGAGCUUCGCCGAUUCCGCUACGUGGCAGAGCACAUCAAGAAAAAUGUGGCUGCGGCUAGCAGCUUGCCAGAUGGCACGACCCAACACAUGCGAAGACUAGUCAGGCCCCGUUGCUGGACUCUUUCUGCAAAAUACGCCGGAGGAUCGUUAUUCGUUUCUUCUGCCAGCGUCUGGCAUUACUGCUUUAUCGCCGUUUCAUGAUUGCUGUUUUCGGCUCAUCGUCGUCACCGUCUAGCACGUGUGCUACGUCUACAUCUCAAUCGAAUUUCCUGCUGGAUCCACCGCCACAAGCAGCUCACAAAAGCCUUGAUUAUCUGAGCAUCGAAGACGUCAUCAUCUUCACGCCGGUCUCAAGCGGGACACGGACACUGCCGCCAGCGGCACCACUGCAGCGCUCAGAUUUAAGCAACUGGCAUCAGCAAGGCGCUUCCAGUGGGCACGGGAGAGCAGCUGCCAUGCGGUAGCUGCUAAGCUCUCCUUUCUGCUUUCUUGUGCAGAUCACAACUGCAAGGAACUGCCGGCAAGAAGACUUCAUCUACCCAGGCUGCGCCACUUAUCGCCCCAAGAAAAAGCAUCUUGACAGUGGCCGUGUCUGCCGCCUACCGUCUACCGCAGCGCGCCUGCGCGGGACCCCAAGCCCCUUGGUUUAAAAGCCCUGCAAGAAGCACGUUCGCAUCAGUUGGCAGCAGCGGUUACGGCUACGUGCACGCAUACUGAACCACUUCUUUCCGCCUGUGCAGAGUUUGGACUCGACUUUUGGCGAGGAUGUCGAUCCACCUUGGGCCUGGUGGCAGCACGCUUGACAUAGGCAAAGUGCAGCCUCUCAGUUGAGUGCUCCCAAAUAGACCAUCAACAUCAGAAAAUGAAGCAGAGCCGAAUACUGCCGGCUUCCAUUUGGAAAACCAGGCAGAUAAGAAGGAAUCUGGAGUGGCUGAGUUGACCACGCUUUGCGGAAGAGCGUUCCAUUCGCGGAUUGUCUUGGGCAGGAAGGAAUAAAGAUAUGCGUUUGUUCAAGCACGCGGCAAUAAUAUUGUUUGAUUGUGCUUAUCUCUGCUCAGUCGCGAUUUGUUAAAUUGCAUGUAGUUGUCAAAUCUCAUUUUAGUGUGGUUGUUAACUAUGUUAUACAUUGCUUGUAGACGGUGCAUUUUGCGACGAGUUUCUAGUGUCUGGAGCCCAGAUCGCAACCUUAAAGAGGUGACUGAAAUGUGCCAAUUUUAAGCAUUGUAGAUAAAUCUAAGAGCUUUUUUUGUACUCUUUCGAUAAUGUCUAUACCAGUCUUUGUGUGAGGGUCCCAGACUAUAUCGGCAUACUCGAGUGUUGGCCUAAUAAUUGUCUUAUAUGCGGUUAAUUUGGUAGCACUAGUGCAGUUUUUUAAACGGUGCUUCAAUAACCAUAACUUUUCAUUACUGCCACGGAAACAUACCUAACGUGAGGGGCAUAGCUCAUCUUGGAAUCAAUUGUAAUUCCAAGAUAUGUGAAUUCCUCUACCUGUUUAAUGUCCAUAUUAUUUACCAUGUAAGUGCAACUUAGCGGAUUUUUUUUACGUGUAAUAACCAUGUGCGCGCAUUUCGAGAUGUUUAGGGUCAUGUGCCACUGGAUACACCAGUCGUGUAUUGCUAUUAGAUAGUCAGUUAAGCUAGAUUGGUCAUCCACAGAUUGAAUGCUCGAAUAAAGAAUACAAUCGUCCACAAAAAAGCGGCACCGCACGGAAAAUUUGCAAGCCAGGUCAUUUAGGUAGAUAAGAAAAAGAAGUGGCCCUAAAACCGAGCCCUGUGGAACGCCCGAAAGUACAGAGGCAAGCGAUGAAUUCGAAGCACCUAUGCUGACAAAUUGUUUUCGAUGCGUCAAGUACGAAUCAAGGCAACGCAAAAUUUGUUCGUUGCGUAUGAUGCUGUUUAGCUGUAUCAUCAUUUUUUGUGUGAAAUCCGAUCGAAGGCUUUCUCGAAAUCUAAAAAAAGAAUGUCUACCUACCCACCUUGAUCCAAGAUUGCCAGUAUUUCGUUCGUCAUAUUGUAACGAUGUUAGUAAAAAAGGAUAUUUAUUAAACGCGAACUUGUGCCCACAAGUAAAAGUCACUGAGGUCGUGCAGAAAACCGCGGCAGUCGCGUUCUCAAGCUGGGCUCGAACCGUCUUCCUCUUCUCCUCGCGUAACACCUCGUGCGCGUGGCGCAUGCGAGCCGGGUCCAACUGGCUGCCCGUGCCACGAAGAUCGCUGCCUGUUGUUGCCGAACAGCGCCACUGUAAGGCAUGCACAGUGCCCAAUGCAAAGGGCGCGCAACUUGAAUGUCACCAAGUUUGUCGUGGCAUUAUCCCCCUCCUUACCGCAUCGGCCCGAUGCGUGAGAGGAAGUAGGGGUUCCUGUGGGCGCUCACUUUUUUUGUUGUUGUUACUGUUGUUCAUGACCUCUCCUGGUAGGGUUUCAUGCGGACAACAUGCACAACUUCCGUGGAGUUGCGCCGUCUUGGGCUCUCGUGUCCAGCGGAUUUCACUUCGUAAGUGACGUCGCUUAUACGACGAAGUAUUUCGUAAGGGCCGAAGUAUCUGCACAGAAGCUUUUCAGACAGUCCACGGUGUCGCACUGGGGUCCAUACCCACACCUUGUCACCGGGCUGGUAAUGAGCUUCACGGCGGCGCUGGUUGUACCGGCUGGAGUCGAUGCGUUGUUGGCGGCGUAUUCGGUACCUUGCUAGCUGUCGUGCCUCCUCGGCUCGUUGCAAGAAAUCAUCCAGGUCAGAUGAGUUAUGGGUUUCUUCAUCUAACGGCAACAUAGCAUCCAAAGUUGUGGAUACUGCUCGGCCGAAUACAAGUUCAAACGGGGUGACUCGUGUUGUUUCCUGAACGGCCGUAUUAUAUGCGAAG